CUGUGUAGCAGUUUGGCCCAUUAAAAAACCGAAAUAAAAAACCGAACCGAAUUAAUAAAAACCGAACCGAAAUAUUUCGAUUCAAUAUUCGGUACGCAAUUUACAAAAAUCGAAAAUCGAAAAAACCGAAAAAAAACCCGAACCGAACCGAAAUACCGAAUGCCCACCCCUAUAUUAAAUUUGAAGUAAUUAUAUACCCAUCUCGAUUUUAAUUUAAUAUAAACAAAUAAUAAACCCUUCUCCAAGAUAAUAAAUCCCUUCUUCUCCAAAGUUCCAGUACCUUCUAGUUUCUACAAAAUCUCUUCAAUAAAUUCUUCUUCUUCCCUAAACAAAACACCGAAAAAUCUAAGUAAGAAAUCAAAAAUGGCGAAAGAGGGACCUAAUUGGGAUGGUUUAUUGAAAUGGAGUCUAUCUCAUGCUGAUGGUACCAAACCUCCUCCUCGCAAUUUGAGUGAGGAGGACAGGAGGUGGUUCAUGGAGGCUAUGCAAGCUCAAACUGUUGAUGUGAUUAAGAGAAUGAAGGAGAUUACACUUGUCAUGCAAACACCAGAGCAGGUUUUGGAAUCACAGGGGGUGACUUCCCAAGAUAUUGAAGAUAUGCUGGAUGAGCUACAAGAACAUGUCGAAUCAAUUGAUAUGGCUAAUGAUCUGAAUUCA
This 657-nucleotide unclassified non-coding RNA is filed under the name Hevea brasiliensis (rubber tree). Lineage: Eukaryota; Viridiplantae; Streptophyta; Magnoliopsida; Malpighiales; Euphorbiaceae. The record is from RNAcentral.